CCGAGUUUACAACUCCCAAACCCCUGUGAACAUACCACUUGCUUGCCUCGGCGGAUCAGCCCGCUCCCGGUAAAACGGGACGGCCCGCCAGAGGACCCCUAAACUCUGUUUCUAUAUGUAACUUCUGAGUAAAACCAUAAAUAAAUCA
This 148-nucleotide unclassified non-coding RNA is filed under the name soil metagenome. RNAcentral describes it as "partial internal transcribed spacer 1". The record is from RNAcentral.